RNAcentral lists this unclassified non-coding RNA (16 nucleotides) under La Crosse virus. RNAcentral describes it as "RNA from La Crosse virus (PDB 5AMQ, chain B)". RNAcentral also lists the same sequence under 1 other name. Lineage: Riboviria; Orthornavirae; Negarnaviricota; Bunyaviricetes; Elliovirales; Peribunyaviridae. The record is from RNAcentral.
UUGGUAGUACACUACU